This 254-nucleotide ribosomal RNA is filed under the name uncultured bacterium. RNAcentral's name for it is "partial 16S ribosomal RNA". It matches the Rfam family "Bacterial small subunit ribosomal RNA", at positions 524 to 776 of the family's 1533-position model. The record is from RNAcentral.
GACGUAGGGCGCAAGCGUUGUCCGGAUUUAUUGGGCGUAAAGAGCUCGUAGGCGGCUUGUUGCGUCGACCGUGAAAACCCGUGGCUCAACUGCGGGCUUGCGGUCGAUACGGGACGGGCUAGAGUUCGGUAGGGGAGACUGGAAUUCCUGGUGUAGCGGUGAAAUGCGCAGAUAUCAGGAGGAACACCGAUAGCGAAGGCAGGUCUCUGGGCCGAUAUUGACGCUGAGGAGCGAAAGCGUGGGGAGCGAACAGG